Molecule: long non-coding RNA, 906 nt
Filed under: Anas platyrhynchos platyrhynchos (common mallard)
Lineage: Eukaryota; Metazoa; Chordata; Aves; Anseriformes; Anatidae
Description: lncRNA (ENSAPLG00000029286.1)
Source: RNAcentral
UCUGAGGUUGGAUUCGAUGAUCUUGAGGUCUCUUCCAACCUAGAAAUUCUGUGAUUCUGUGAUUUUUUCUUUUUCUAAAAAUUCUAGCCAUUUGUAAUCUAGACAGCUGCCACUUUGUGUGCUGAACUCUGAUACCACAUACAAAUACAUUUAAUUACUUCUUUGUAGUCCAAGUCUGUUUGUGUGGUGUGAUCAAUGAAAAAUUUCUGGCUUCCAUGACCCAUAACACAUAUUUUUGUACAUUAGUACUGUAAAACGUUCAUCAAUUAUCAAUAAAGUUGCAGGGACUUUUUUUUUUUUUUUUUUGGACAGGCCUGCCUGAAUGGAUAAAUGAAACAAAACAGAUGCCAGAAGCUAUCCGGAUGGUCACAAUUCCCAGAUCCCUGUCCCUUCGCAGAGGCAUUGCUGAGAAAACCCACAGCACUGUACAAAGGAAACAUACCAUUUCAGAUUUUUGAACUGCCUCGCGUGUAAUUGAUGAUCAGAAACAUCGAUAUGGAGUAUGAAGGAUCAAAUUUUAAAACAACGUUGAAAUAUCUCAUCUGAUUGAAUGAAGCUGGAAAACUGAUGAAACUCCAUGAAAUGGUGUUGGCGUUAUCCCUUAGAACAUAUCUAGUGAAAAAUGCAGUAUGUCACAUGUCUGUGGAAAUCAUGGAUGAGAAGUUUCAGAACAAUAUUUCUUCACCUUCCGAGGAGUUCAGGCGUGCCUCAGGUGUUUGUCCUGUCUGAACACCUGAAGUCCAUUAAUCAUCACUGUCUUAUCAUUGUAAUAUUACUAAUGGAUGUCCAAGACAGAAGUGACCCACCUGAUUUUUAGGAGAACACAUUUUCUUUAAAAUGUUGCUGCUGCUCUGUUAGCAACAUUUUGAAUUAAAAAUGUAGAAAUAAACUCAUCUUCGUUAAACA